AUGACAGGUGUCAAGAAUUCCAAUAUUCAGGAAGCUGCUGCCAGGARCAUUAUCCUGUCAGGCAAAUCACAGAGCAGUCCYCCAGCAACCAGUCCGGUAUUUCAAGAUCCAAGAGAGCUGCUGAGAGCAAUCCCUGCUUCAAACGCCUUUGUUCCUAAUACGUUGAAUGAGGACAAUGCUGACUCUAACCACGAGGACCUGCUAAUUCCAGCUAAUCUGGCUCCAGCUGAGGAGGCUGCUGUUUCAAAGAGCACUCCAGAUGACCAGGACGUUUCCUUAACAUCACAGACAGAGAAUCUAAUUGACUUUACAGAAGCCACACCUCGGGUGUCUUCUCAGCCCAUUGUAACACCGAGGUGGUUAGUGCCAACGGGACUGAUUUCCAACGGGCCUUUGGGAAAUAAUGUUGCCUUAUCUUUGAAGGCAGUGAAAGGCAGCACAGAGACCCUGAUGUCCUCGGCKGGAUUGACACCAUCCCAGCAGACACCCGAAGUCCUUGCAAGCCCAGUUACUGAGGAUGCUACAAUAAGAACAAAAUGUUUACUCACCACUGAGCUCUAGAAGAAGGAGUCUCUGGAACUCUCACCUUGUAAAAACUCAAAUCUUCUAACAUAUUUCCAAGGGAUCCUUCCAAAAACUUGCUUGGGAUGAAACUCGUGCUGAACGGGAGUCAGACAGCCGGCUGGUUUGCCAGGAUCCAGGAAGAGACUUCUACAUUUAUCACAAUCUAACUGGAAUUGCAGCCUGAACCGGGAUGUAAAACCACAUGCACAUCUGAUCUCCCUUGGGAGAAGUGAAGUGUCACACUGGAGCUAGUUCUGAACUGAGGAAAAGAAAACAGUUGUGUUCUGCUUGUGCUGGGUUAAUUGUUCCUUACCCUGAGCUGGCUCUGGUGCUGCUGGAAGGUGUUACAGAGCUGUGGGCUGUGAGCACGGGGCCCUGAUGGCUGUGGAAUGAUGAACAGCAGGCAUGAGGAGAACUCGCAGGGCCACCUCGUGGCCGUGUCCUGCACAGGACUCUCCGUGCUGGUGACUGUCCCCUGCAGCCAAGGACAUUUUCUUCUGUGUGAUUAUUCCCUCUGUUUCUCCUUCGUUUUACCAACACAUACUCUCCUUUUUGGCCUUAACCCCCUAAAUAAUCUUUGCACACCCUAUUACAGUACCUGGAAAGCAGGAAAAUCUAGUCCUAUCAGUGACCAGCUAUGUAGACUGGAUUUCAGCUGCUGCUCAUUGCAACCAGGAAAAUGCAAAUUACCUGCCAAACAUUAGCAGAAUACAGCAGAGGUUCUCACAUUUGAUACUGAUCAUUUCAUUUCCUACAUGCUUCAAAUACAUGCAUUUUAGACUAGAGAUAUGUAUGUUUUAAAAGCCAAAGCAGGUGAAGGUGUGAGUGCAAAUUAAUUCAGGAGCUGCUUAUUGGUUAGUAUUGUUGUCUUCUAGGACUAGAAAGGAAAAUAAUUUUCUCAUUUCUCUUCAUGCAGUUUCUGGGUGUUUUUUCCAUUUGCUGUGCUUUAGGAAUACUUUCCAGGUAUUUUUGCAGCAUGAGGUACAACUAGAUCAGUUCUUGACACCACUUUGAAUCCUGUUCCAAAUGUCACCUUAUAGUUGUAUGUGGAACAAACAAUAGAAAGACUAGGGUGAAAAUUGGAAAAAAAGGAUGAAAAAUUCCUGUAAGCAAUUCACUWCUCUGUAGAAGGAAGGUAAGAGCACACACUCCACAGAGCAGGUGAAGKUCUUUGGGUGCUCAGGUGAAGUUUGGGAUACAGUGCACACAGUUCAGAGAUCAUUUGAGCUCUGGGCAGCAGUAUCAUCACCUAGACCCAGGGGAUAUAGCCUGUGAAAAAAGUAAUGCAGAGUCAGAGGGAGGAGAAACAAAGAUGGUGAAUCCCACAUCUAGCAGGGAAACACAGAUUAAACUGGUCUUUCUUUCUGAGGGAGAGGUUCGUACAUAUGACUGAGGUWGGAGAGUGUUUUCUUCAUAGUGCUGCUGUUUGUAAAUACUUACAUGCAUGUGGUUCUUAGAAACAAACUUAAAUGUGAAAAUUGGUUCUGGAACCUGUAUGCACAACUUCAUUUCUGCCCAUUGGCUGCGUGCACAUGUCUCAGUGUAAACAAAGGUUUGGACCAAACCACUCUGGGUUUUGCAAGUAAGCUGGGCCCAGCAAGGCUGCUGCAUUCRGACCRAGGUGUUCAUGCUGCUGUUGCUCUYGUGCUCUUUGUAAGAURCUGAAUGCGAGUUAAGGGAGAAGCCACGUGGAUUUCAGAUGGCCUGCUGGCACUUCUCAAAACCCCUGAGGCCUUAAUAGAGGAAUGUAGGGACCAGAGAAAGCUGCUAGGACUGGCAUACCAGAGUGACUGCMGGCAGUGAUUGGCAGCCAGUGCCUCAGGAACCAGGAUUUCAGGAUUUGUGGCAGGUGCUGCGGGUGCCCCUCCAGCCAGCARUGGGCACGUCCCGCUCCCGCACUGCCGGACGACCAGGCACAGGGUUCCUGCUCCCAGCCCUUCAGCUCUCUCAUUGCUGUACCAGUUGAGUAUUGGCUUUUUUUAUACUUUUAAAUCUGAGCCUUACUGCUUAUUAAAACCUAGAUGAUUCCUGAUUUGAAUAUUAAAUGUCUUAGUCUGGAUUAAUAAUGCAGUUGCCAGCAAAGUUCCUGCAGGAAAAGGGAAGCAAUGGCUGCAACAGUCUGCUUCCUGCACAAAGCCAGGACUGUGUGUGGAAACUUGGCACUUGCUAUUCAUCUGUUUGCUCAGCAGCUGAGCUGGCAUUCGCCAGCUACAUGUGUUGGGUUUGUAAAUAGACAGAAUGCAGUAGCAUUUUCUUAGGCAUGUUUGAUAUUUGGCUCUUCCCAUUGGGUUCAGGAGCUCUGUGAACUGUCAGCUUGAAUCYCUCCCAAAACUGGAAUAACAGAAGUUUACAGUUUUCCAGCACUGCGUGUUGAAUACCAUCCUKAGAUUCCUCCCAAGCCAUCACAGCAAAUAACAAGUAAAUACCGUGUAGUGAGUGUGUCUCCUAAAAUCUAAAUGGCUGCAAAUAACCAACUGUUAUUUCACCAUGGUCAAGGUAGCAGUGGUUGGAGGGAAAUGUUGUAAUUACACACAUGCACACACAGAGAAAAUUCAAAGAGGUGAGGCUUUCCUCAAUUUUCAGAGGACUAAUAUUUGAAAUUUCACAUAAAAAUGCAAACAUUUCAACUAGUAAAUUGGGAAUCUGCAAUAUCUAAUUGGGGCUACAAACCCAACUCUUCCCAGCAAUAUCUGAUACUUGGAGCAAAUAUUCACUCAAUUUAUCUUGAUGUAGCUUGCUUAGCUAACCAAAUCACUGCUUAUAUAGGGAGCCUGGCRAGAUCAAGGUGACAGAGGUUUGUGAUGUGAACAUCUUCAUUUGGCAUCACUGCUCUGCUUUGCAUCUAGAGGUACUGUGUUACAACAUGACUGACUAACAGGUAACAUAGCAUUACUCAUCACCUGCAUUUAUCAAACACCAAUUGGGAUAAUAGUUCCUACAGUUAGUGUUACAAAGUAUCAGUAAAUGCCUGUGUGCUACUGAGAAAAAAAAGGGUUUUCCUACCAUUGCUAUGCUAUUGAUUGAUUUCCUGUAGGGUCCAAGUAUUUUCUUAAAGUCUAUUUUCCAGUAUUUAUUCAAAGAGAUUUAUAAAUAAAACUUUUGUGUGAAUCUAGUGUCAGGAUGUUGGCAGGUCUGCCCCCCACUUAAAAGCUGUAAGAGUUGACAGGAAUGAAUGAAUGAAUGCUAAGUGAUUGGAUCUAAAAGUAAAAGYGAUUUUACUACAGUCACAUUCUGUGGAGUAAAAGGUUUUAUAGAAAUCUUGGUGUUUAUAAUAACCACAUCCCAGCCCUUAUCUCAAACUCAUUAACCUGGAAGAGAUGCRUUUCAGUCUCACUCAUUUAAGACCAUCAGAGUCUGCAUGUGCUACGUGCAUUUACAGGCUUAGGAAAUGGGCAUUAAAAUGUGGGAGCUGAGGCUUUCUUACACCAGAAUUAGGGAAUCUCUUCUUAGGUCAGUGGUAAUAGAGUUUCAUAUAAGUUAUAUGACAUAAAUUACCUACUUACCUGUUAAUGAGUUAUGGUUAAUGAAUUAGCUUGCAUGUAUUUGAUUUUAAACUUAAAUUUUACUCCUACUUUGUUGAACACAGACAGCUGUAUAAGACARUUUUGGACAAUUUUUUGACACAACUUCAGCAAGAAAAUUUGCAGCCCUGUUAGAGCAGCUCAGGUGAACAGUGCUGCUACAUGUGGGUCUCUGUACAAACUGCAGUCCUUGCCUGCUCUCCUUUUGUCUGCACCCUGCUCCUUCCUUCUCGUUUCAUGAAGCAAAGACAUGCUGUUGGGAUGAGUAUGUCCUUCACAAACAGCACUAUUUUUCACAUUGUGAACAUAUUCUGGUACAAUCCAAAUCUACUGGUGAAGUGAUAGCAGCUCUGUUCCACAGCCAGUUAGCAUUUAAAGCUCUGUCUGGGCACAUAGUGUUUCUGAGUUUAGGAAGUUGUAGUAUCUAUAUACAUAUAUAUAUGUAGCUGUUAGACACUGUAAUGUCACAGCUUGCAAAUGCAGCUGGACAAUCAUAACUUUUCAACCAAAAAAUACACCAGUAUAUGCUAAUGGCCUUUCAGUGACACAGGUGUGACCCGGGUGUGUUUGCUGCAGGUGUUGGCAGCACAGAGGAGUUCAGCACCCUCCKCCCAGUGCCGUGGCAGAGGCGGAGCUGCAGUGGCUCCUCCUGGCUGUGCGGGAAGGAGAUGCGGGUGCUCUGCACGGCCCCUUAAAGCCAGUCCCGGCUCCGGGUUGGUGCUGGCCUGAGGAGCAGCACUGCCACACCCACAGAGCCGGGAGCCGCAGGAUUCUUCUGCAGAAUUCACCUCCUUUGGACUGCUUGGCUUGAGCACUCUGCUCCAUAAACACACACAUACWCCCUACCUAUAUAACUGGACAAACUUAUUUUUAAAGUAUAUAAGAAUAUUUUUUUAGCUAGAUUCGUUUUGUUAAAGCUGCACUAACUACUGUAUUUUUACUUUUUWUAUGUAAAGCUUGGCAAUAGCUCUCAAUGUAUAAUUUAUUUGUUCAGUUUUUUAUAAAACGAAGUGCACCCUCUUGCUUCUGUUUCACAACACUGGUGACAUAUGAACUGUCUUAGGCACUGCACUGAGAUCUGUAUUGAAACUGUACAUGGAAACAAGUAGAUCUGUAGUCCACUCAACCYAGUCUUGGAAUGUUUAUACCAUAGUUUUGUCUUAAAUACACUAUGUCAGUG
This 5265-nucleotide long non-coding RNA is filed under the name Zosterops lateralis melanops. RNAcentral's name for it is "lncRNA (ENSZLMG00000000069.1)". Lineage: Eukaryota; Metazoa; Chordata; Aves; Passeriformes; Zosteropidae. The record is from RNAcentral.